This is a long non-coding RNA of Biomphalaria glabrata, 4045 nucleotides long. RefSeq lists it as uncharacterized. The record is from RefSeq and is a predicted model, not a curated record. The transcript has 3 exons. NCBI's taxonomy places the organism in Eukaryota, Metazoa, Mollusca, Gastropoda, Planorbidae.
AAGAUAAAGUUCCUCCUGCUGAUUUACAGACACUUUUGGUUGCUACUUGUGAUUAAGAACUGACUUUGAGUGAUAGCAAGAGGAUGAUUUAAAUCGCCGCUUGUGAUGAAACGCACACUAAUCAACAUUUGCACUUGCAGACCAACUAAAUAGUUGCAGAGAAACACAUUUAAUUGAUGACUUUACUAUCUUUAGCUUAGGACUUUUUAAAAGCGAAGACUGGACUCCUUAGCCAUCUUCGUGUUCAAAGGAAUGAUUAAUGGAGGAAUUCUAAAAGCGAAGACUGGACUCCUUAGCCAUCUUCGUGUUCAUAGGAAUGAUUUAUGGAGGAUAUUUAAAAGCGAAGACUGGACUCCUUAGCCAUCUUCGUGUUCAUAGGAAUGAUUAACGGAGGAAUUUAAAAAUCGAAGACUGGACUCCUUAGCCAUCUUCGUGUUUAAAGGAUGUAGUUGAGGACUUUUUUUUUGGAAAAAAGAUCGGUCUCCAUGGCCAUCUUUGCUUAGGUAGAAUAAAAAAUGGACUUGGAUAUUUUUUAGAGCGAAGAUCGGACUCCACAGCUAUCUUCGUACUUAUAGGAAAGGAUAUUGUAUUAUAUUUUAAACAUGAGGAAUUUUAGCUGAGGACUAGAUGUAGUAACAGUCAUCAAUUGAUGUGUUCAUCCAAGACAAAAUAGUUGGUUAUGUUUGUGCAUUUGUAGACAACCCAGGUAUUGAGGUAUUGACAUUGUUUAAUACAUUACAUUUUUUGUACCUUUUUUUUAUAUUUUUAACAAUGAUAUCGAAAGAUAUUAUUAAAUAUCUAGACUAGAUCUUUUGUAUAGUAAUUACAGUAUUUUUAAUAGCUAUACAUUUUUAAUUAAACUUUUUUUUUUUUUUUUUUCUAUUUAAAAUGCUGAGCAUACAUAACUAAACUGGAAGAACAGAUGAAGUCCAAAAUGCUAAAGCAACAGACAACCCAGACCAAGAUAAAGUUCCUCCUGCUGAUUUACAGACACUUUUGGUUGCUACUUGUGAUUAAGAACUGACUUGGAGUGAUAGCAAGAGGAUGAUUUAAAUCGGCGCUCGUGAUGAAACGCACACUAAUGAACAUUUGCACUUGCAGACCAACUAAAUAGUUGCGGAGAAACACAUUUAAUUGAUGACUUUACUAUCUUUAGCUUAGAACUUUUGAAAAGCGAAGACUGGACUCCUUAGCCAUCUUCGUGUUCAUAGGAAUGAUUAAUGGAGGAAUUCUAAAAGCGAAGACUGGACUCCUUAGCCAUCUUCGUGUUCAUAGGAAUGAUUAAUGGAGGAAUUCUAAAAGCGAAGACUGAACUCCUUAGCCAUCUUCGUGUUCAUAGGAAUGAUUUAUGGAGGAAUUUUAAAAGCGAAGACUGGACUCCUUAGCCAUCUUCGUGUUCAUAGGAAUGAUUAACGGAGGAAUUUUAAAAUCGAAGACUGGACUCCUUAGCCAUCUUCGUGUUUAAAGGAUGUAGUUGAGGACUUUUUUUUUGGAAAAAAGAUCGGUCUCCAUGGCCAUCUUUGCUUAGGUAGAAUAAAAAAUGGACUUGGAUAUUUUUUAGAGCGAAGAUCGGACUCCACAGCCAUCUUCGUACUUAUAGGAAAGGAUAUUGUAUUAUAUUUUAAACAUGAGGAAUUUUAGCUGAGGACUAGAUGUAGUAACAGUCAUCAAUUGAUGUGUUCAUCCAAGACAAAAUAGUUGGUUAUGUUUGUGCAUUUGUAGACAACCCAGGUAUUGAGGUAUUGACAUUGUUUAAUACAUUACAUUUUUUGUACCUUUUUUUUUUUUUUUUUACAAUGAUAUCGAAAGAUAUUAUUAAAUAUCUAGACUAGAUCUUUUGUAUAGUAAUUACAAUAUUUUUUAAUAGCUAUACAUUUUUAAGUCAACUUUUUGUUGUUUUUUUUUCUAUUUAAAAUGCUGAGCAUACAUAACUAAACUGGAAGAACAGAUGAAGUCCAAAAUGCUAAAGCAACAGACAACCCAGGUAAAUACAUAUCAUAACAGUAUAGCAAAGAUUUUAAGGAAAGAAUUUUGAGAAUAAAUGUUUUAGAUUAAAGCAAAAUAUUUUGAUUAAAAGAUAAUUAUUUUAGUUGAUAUAUUCAAUAACAUCCUGCUGAUUCACAGACCAAGAUAAAGUUCCUCCUGCUGAUUUACAGACACUUUUGGUUGCUACUUGUGAUUAAGAACUGACUUGGAGUGAUAGCAAGACUGGACUCCUUAGCCAUCUUCGUGUUCAUAGGAAUGAUUAAUGGAGGAAUUCUAAAAGCGAAGACUGGACUCCUUAGCCAUCUUCGUGUUCAUAGGAAUGAUUUAUGGAGGAAUUUUAAAAGCGAAGACUGGACUCCUUAGCCAUCUUCGUGUUCAUAGGAAUGAUUAACGGAGGAAUUUUAAAAUCGAAGACUGGACUCCUUAGCCAUCUUCGUGUUUAAAGGAUGUAGUUGAGGACUUUUUUUUUGGAAAAAAGAUCGGUCUCCAUGGCCAUCUUUGCUUAGGUAGAAUAAAAAAUGGACUUGGAUAUUUUUUAGAGCGAAGAUCGGACUCCACAGCCAUCUUCGUACUUAUAGGAAAGGAUAUUGUAUUAUAUUUUAAACAUGAGGAAUUUUAGCUGAGGACUAGAUGUAGUAACAGUCAUCAAUUGAUGUGUUCAUCCAAGACGAAAUAGUUGGUUAUGUUUGUGCAUUUGUAGACAACCCAGGUAUUGAGGUAUUGACAUUGUUUAAUACAUUACAUUUUUUGUACCUUUUUUUUAUAUUUUUAACAAUGAUAUCGAAAGAUAUUAUUAAAUAUCUAGACUAGAUCUUUUGUAUAGUAAUUACAGUAUUUUUAAUAGCUAUACAUUUUUAAUUAAACUUUUUUUUUUUUUUUUUUCUAUUUAAAAUGCUGAGCAUACAUAACUAAACUGGAAGAACAGAUGAAGUCCAAAAUGCUAAAGCAACAGACAACCCAGACCAAGAUAAAGUUCCUCCUGCUGAUUUACAGACACUUUUGGUUGCUACUUGUGAUUAAGAACUGACUUGGAGUGAUAGCAAGAGGAUGAUUUAAAUCGGCGCUCGUGAUGAAACGCACACUAAUGAACAUUUGCACUUGCAGACCAACUAAAUAGUUGCGGAGAAACACAUUUAAUUGAUGACUUUACUAUCUUUAGCUUAGAACUUUUGAAAAGCGAAGACUGGACUCCUUAGCCAUCUUCGUGUUCAUAGGAAUGAUUAAUGGAGGAAUUCUAAAAGCGAAGACUGGACUCCUUAGCCAUCUUCGUGUUCAUAGGAAUGAUUAAUGGAGGAAUUCUAAAAGCGAAGACUGAACUCCUUAGCCAUCUUCGUGUUCAUAGGAAUGAUUUAUGGAGGAAUUUUAAAAGCGAAGACUGGACUCCUUAGCCAUCUUCGUGUUCAUAGGAAUGAUUAACGGAGGAAUUUUAAAAUCGAAGACUGGACUCCUUAGCCAUCUUCGUGUUUAAAGGAUGUAGUUGAGGACUUUUUUUUUGGAAAAAAGAUCGGUCUCCAUGGCCAUCUUUGCUUAGGUAGAAUAAAAAAUGGACUUGGAUAUUUUUUAGAGCGAAGAUCGGACUCCACAGCCAUCUUCGUACUUAUAGGAAAGGAUAUUGUAUUAUAUUUUAAACAUGAGGAAUUUUAGCUGAGGACUAGAUGUAGUAACAGUCAUCAAUUGAUGUGUUCAUCCAAGACAAAAUAGUUGGUUAUGUUUGUGCAUUUGUAGACAACCCAGGUAUUGAGGUAUUGACAUUGUUUAAUACAUUACAUUUUUUGUACCUUUUUUUUUUUUUUUUUACAAUGAUAUCGAAAGAUAUUAUUAAAUAUCUAGACUAGAUCUUUUGUAUAGUAAUUACAAUAUUUUUUAAUAGCUAUACAUUUUUAAGUCAACUUUUUGUUGUUUUUUUUUCUAUUUAAAAUGCUGAGCAUACAUAACUAAACUGGAAGAACAGAUGAAGUCCAAAAUGCUAAAGCAACAGACAACCCAGGUAAAUACAUAUCAUAACAGUAUAGCAAAGAUUUUAAGGAAAGAAUUUUGAGAAUAAAUGUUUUAGAUUAAA